This 552-nucleotide ribosomal RNA is filed under the name Gliocephalotrichum bulbilium. RNAcentral describes it as "eukaryotic LSU rRNA". The stretch from base 185 to 338 matches the Rfam family "5.8S ribosomal RNA". Lineage: Eukaryota; Fungi; Ascomycota; Sordariomycetes; Hypocreales; Nectriaceae. The record is from RNAcentral.
GUCGUAACAAGGUCUCCGUUGGUGAACCAGCGGAGGGAUCAUUACCGAGUUUACAACUCCCAAACCCAUGUGAAUUUACCUUUACGUUCCCUCGGCGGCGUUCCCCUCGGGGUUCCCGCCAGAGGACCAAACAAACCCUUUGCAUUUAUUAGUAUUAUUCUGAGUGAUUUAAUCAAUAAAUCAAAACUUUCAACAACGGAUCUCUUGGUUCUGGCAUCGAUGAAGAACGCAGCGAAAUGCGAUAAGUAAUGUGAAUUGCAGAAUUCAGUGAAUCAUCGAAUCUUUGAACGCACAUUGCGCCCGCCAGUAUUCUGGCGGGCAUGCCUGUUCGAGCGUCAUUUCAACCCUCAAGCCCAGCUUGGUGUUGGAGAUCGGCACAAGCGUCCUCCGGGUCGCCGCCGUCUCCCAAAUCUAGUGGCGGUCUCGCUGUAGCCUCCUCUGCGUAGUAACUCACCUCGCACUGGAACGCGGCGCGGCCAAGCCGUUAAACCCCCAACUUCUGAAGUUUGACCUCGGAUCAGGUAGGACUACCCGCUGAACUUAAGCAUAUCA